ACGCUCGACACCUACUGGAGGCAGCAGUGGGGAAUAUUGCACAAUGGGGGAAACCCUGAUGCAGCGACGCCGCGUGGAGGAAGAAGGUCUUCGGAUUGUAAACUCCUGUUGUUGGGGAAAAAGAGGAUGGUACCCAACAAGGAAGUGACGGCUAACUACGUCNCNNNCGCGUAGUAUGNGNGGCGNGNGAGAG
RNAcentral lists this ribosomal RNA (193 nucleotides) under uncultured bacterium. RNAcentral describes it as "partial 16S ribosomal RNA". The stretch from base 1 to 169 matches the Rfam family "Bacterial small subunit ribosomal RNA", at positions 328 to 540 of the family's 1533-position model. The record is from RNAcentral.